GUCACCCGAUGGACAUAUGACAUGUGGACCCAAACAGUGGACGCAUCCUAGAUCCCAACGGCCAGCGUCCAGCCUCCUUGGGGCUUGUACUUGUUCACUGAAUCACUACUUCGCGAGGUCAGCCGUCAACGCAUCAGCAGCAACUAGCAAGGCCGCCAAGCGGCCCAGGACCCAGGCCAGCUCCAAGCGAACAACCUACGUACGACUCUAUACCUCUCGCCCUCUGAGUCUCGCGCGGGCUGCAGGCCAUCUGGGCUCCGGCUUCCAGCAUCCACCAGACGUCCUUAGAAUACGGUGCAGCGAGCAGCGAGCAGCAAGUCACCGAGCAGCCGAGCGACCGCCGAGCACAGGGCACCACCAAGCAGCCGAGCCACCGCCCAGCGCCGAGUCUUCUCUGGUAAAUUAAACAGGCUUGGAUAAAUUAGUGUUUCAAUUUAGAGUUUUAGACAGAUUGCUUGUAGGGAUUUGAAAAGAUUACUUGUAUGGAUGAAUGGAUUUUGUUUGUACAGAUUGUAUGUACAAAUUGUGUUAAAAAUAUUAUUUGAUGUUGUU
Molecule: long non-coding RNA, 552 nt
Organism: Zea mays
Lineage: Eukaryota; Viridiplantae; Streptophyta; Magnoliopsida; Poales; Poaceae
Exons: 2
Source: RefSeq, a predicted model, not a curated record